AAAUAAAGCUUGAUUCUUAUCACGAACAGUUUUUUCAAGGGUCACUAACUGAGGGCAUCAACAUGAAGUUUUGUCAAGGGUCACGAACUGAGGGCGAUAAGAACUCGGAGAAGCUUAGACGACUCUCGCUAAUCGAUUUCAAAAAUCAAUCGUGUUUCUAGGGCUUCGUUCCCUCAAUUGCAGCAAUCGCAGUGGAGAAGGGCUUCGUUCCCUCAGUUGAAGCAAUCGCGAUGAAGAAUGAGUUCGCAAUUUCAAGGGGCUCGGCUUUCUCUCCAAUGGCAAUCGCGUUUCUAGGGCUUCGUUCCCUCAGUUGCAGCAAUCGCGAUGGAGAAGGAGUUCAGAACUCAGCAAUCGAUUUUAUGGAGAACUCAGCAAUCGAUUUUAUGGAGAAGGAACUCGUUCGAUUUUGCAGUGAGGGAUUUUUGGCGAGAGCUAAGUCUUGGACUCUUA
This 450-nucleotide long non-coding RNA is filed under the name Panax ginseng (ginseng). RNAcentral describes it as "long non-coding RNA (PGIN_LNC017940)". The record is from RNAcentral. Lineage: Eukaryota; Viridiplantae; Streptophyta; Magnoliopsida; Apiales; Araliaceae.